RNAcentral lists this transfer RNA (72 nucleotides) under Coleofasciculus sp. FACHB-1120. Its description in RNAcentral is "tRNA-Gly". It matches the Rfam family "tRNA". From Rfam's summary of the family: Transfer RNA (tRNA) molecules are approximately 80 nucleotides in length. Their secondary structure includes four short double-helical elements and three loops (D, anti-codon, and T loops). Further hydrogen bonds mediate the characteristic L-shaped molecular structure. tRNAs have two regions of fundamental functional importance: the anti-codon, which is responsible for specific mRNA codon recognition, and the 3' end, to which the tRNAs corresponding amino acid is attached (by aminoacyl-tRNA synthetases). tRNAs cope with the degeneracy of the genetic code in two manners: having more than one tRNA (with a specific anti-codon) for a particular amino acid; and 'wobble' base-pairing, i.e. permitting non-standard base-pairing at the 3rd anti-codon position. The record is from RNAcentral. Lineage: Bacteria; Bacillati; Cyanobacteriota; Cyanophyceae; Coleofasciculales; Coleofasciculaceae.
GCGGAUAUGGUGCAAUGGCUAGCACAUUAGCCUUCCAAGCUUAUGAUACGGGUUCGAGUCCCGUUAUCCGCU